This 135-nucleotide small RNA is filed under the name Arabidopsis thaliana (thale cress). RNAcentral's name for it is "ATSL002140". Lineage: Eukaryota; Viridiplantae; Streptophyta; Magnoliopsida; Brassicales; Brassicaceae. The record is from RNAcentral.
AGGUAGAGAGUCGAGAGAUACAGAGAAAAGAGAACAGUGACUAGUAGUUCAUUACAAGAAUUUGUUGAUGCUGGUUGCUAAAGUGUCUUUAGAGACAGCACCGAUGAUUGUAUCCUUCUUCUCACCAUUGACAAA